Molecule: small RNA, 159 nt
Filed under: Arabidopsis thaliana (thale cress)
Lineage: Eukaryota; Viridiplantae; Streptophyta; Magnoliopsida; Brassicales; Brassicaceae
Description: ATSL014430
Source: RNAcentral
AUAAUGUCUUAUGUUUUUUUUGGUAUGUCUAAUGUGUCAGAUGACUAUUACGUGAAAAAAAUUGUUUAUCAAUAUUACCAAGUUAUCAGAACGCACAAAAAUAUACAGAAAGAAGGUCAUAUGAUAAAAUCAUAUUCACAAAACGUAAUAAUAAAAAAA